RNAcentral lists this long non-coding RNA (5382 nucleotides) under Sus scrofa (pig). RNAcentral's name for it is "lncRNA (ENSSSCG00000055633.1)". The record is from RNAcentral. Lineage: Eukaryota; Metazoa; Chordata; Mammalia; Artiodactyla; Suidae.
AUAGGCCGGCAGCUGCAGCUCUGAUUAGACCCCUAGCCUGGGAACCUCCAUAUACUGUGGGAGCAGCCCAAGAAAUGGCAAAAAGACAAAAACAAAAACAAAAAAGAAUAAAAUAAACUGUGCUACUUUCACAAAUGCAUUACUAGUUAGCACUAAAAAGACAAAAAUUACUAAUACUUGAGUUAGACUAGAAAAUAGGAUGGUAACAAAAAGGAAAGGAAAGCCAUAGCAAUUUUAUUUUGAUGGAAAACUAAAAUGACUCCUUAAGACUGAGAUGGGAGGAGAUUAAUUGCAAUUAGGCAUCAGGGGAUAGUCUAAAGUGAUGGAAAUAUUGUUUUUCCUUGGGUGAUACUAUUACAUGGGCAUGCACAUUUGAAAAAUUUAUACUCUACAAGUGGGUAUGUUUUAUUUCAUGUAAAGUAUACUGUACAAAGUUGAGUUUGGGAGUUGCCUUGUGACAUAGUACAUCAAGGAUUCUGCAUUAUCAUCGCAGCAGCUCAGGCUGCUGCGGUACAGGUUCGAUCCCUGGCCUGGGAACUUCCACUUGCCAUGGAAGCAGCCAAAAAAAAAAGAAAAAAGCUGACUUUUAAUAAAUUAAAAGAUGAUGAUGGUAGAUAGUAGCUUUCCUUAAAGGCUUUGGAAAAAUAAAUAUUGAGAAGUCUAUCAUUCUGACCAAAAUUUAUUAUUGUUUCUUAUUGUUAUUACUAAUUUUAGUGGAAAGUGAAAACUGUCUUCUUCAAUCUCUUCUAUGAUUGUUAGUCAUUUCAAUCCGUUUUUUGAUCUACCUGUGUCAGUUUGACUCACUUAUAUUUUCCUAGGGGACAAUGAUGAUGAUGGUAUUCAGAGGUAACUUUUAUAGCCCCCAAUAAAUGCCAGGUAGUGUUAUUUAUUUAAUCCUCAGAAUAACCUGAUUAGUAUUAUGUUAUUAUUUUCCACAUAUAGCAAACAAGGAAAUAAACACACAGAGAGUAAUAACUAAAUUGUUCAAGAGCAGCUAGCCAGAUGUUAGUGAAGGAGGUAAACCCAGGCAGUCUGGCUCAGGAAUUCAUAUUAAGAUUAAUUUUAUUAGUCAUAUCUUUAUAUUCCUUUUUACAUUUUCUCUACUUGACAUAUCAAAUACUAUGAGAGGCAUAUUAAAUAUUUUCCACAAAGAUUUUUAAAAACAAGUAAACCUUAUUUUUCAAGAACCCUUUGCACUAUGCACACUGCUGCUAUAUUGCCUAAUAUAUAAACAUUAUAUAUGUGUAUGUGUGUGUAUCUUACUACAUAUAGUGUAUUUAAUAUCUCUCUAUAUAAUAUCUAUCCAGCGAAUUGCAUCUUUAGGAGUAUAUAUGUAUAUAUAAUUGCAUCUUUAUACUACAGCAUCUUUAGGAAUCCUUUUAAAUGUGUUUCCAUCUCUUGAAUUUGAAUUCUAUUAAGCAUCCCUGGUUUCUGGUUUGCAUUUUCCCAUAUAUCCCUGCACAUUAACAAAAAUAUUUGCCACCUUGUUUUAAGUAUCUUUCUUGUAAUAAUCAUACAGUUGGCCUUUUAAAUACUAUUUUAUUCUGCUUUUGGAUAGGUUUGCUUAGUGGACUUGUGUUUAGAGUGGUAUCUGGCUUUUGUAUUGAAAUCUCUUCCUUCUCCGUUUGGCUGAAGCAGGGAGUCUGGAGCCUCCCUAUAUGCAUGUAUUCACCACAUACCCACAUGGUCUGGGAGACACUGAAACCAACAGUUCAGGUUCUCCCCAGUGCAGUGGAGCCAUAUCAUUCAGCAGGACUCCCAACAUUAGGCACAGACUGACAGGUGUAGAGCCCCUCUCACGGAAGUCCAUUACAAAGUUCCUUCAAUAGUGAAAUCAACUUCAGGAAAAUAAGAAACACUGCUUUUUUUUCCCCUCAAGGCUUUGAGGAGAAUUCCCUUUCAUAGUUGCAAUUUCCUCUGCACUCCUGUACCAAAGAGAGAGAGAGAGAGAGAGAGAGAGAGAGGAAAAAAAAAAUCCAGUGCCUUUCUUCUAAUACUUUUCAAUAGAAUAUAUAGGCUCCUCUCACCUGUCAACUCUUGGUAGGUCCCCCAAAUUUUAUAAGCUUCAAGCCCUGCAAAAUCUUGAUUUAUUUCUUUCCCUUGCAGGAAAAACAUCACUAUUAAUUCUCACUCAUAAACAAUUGCCUUACUGUGAAGAAAUCUCUAACGACAUUCUUUCUCUAAAUGAAUUAAAAGAAAGGUUGACAUGUAACACUUGAUUGAACUAAUACAAUUAUUUAAAGAUAUAUGAUAUGCCAACAUAGAGGUAUCAUCUUGUUGAUGUUAUUUUUUUUGUUUCCUUUCUUCUUUAUUCAGAUACUUUGAUUGGUAUGCACACCUGCUCUAAAUAAGCUUUGUUUAAAAUAUAUAUUUUAUUUUCCUCUGCCCACCAUAGACAAUUCUCCUAAUAUUACCAAGACAUCAAAAUGAAAACAAUUUUCUCUAAUUUCCUGAGUGCUUUCUCAGACAGUAACUCGAAAAUCUUGCUUAAUUUUUACAAUUCUAUGAGGUAGUUACUAUCACCUUUUCUUUAUUGGUACCUGCUUUUGGAAAGAUUAAACACCAUGCCAAUAUUACACAAAUAGUAAAAGGCCAAACGGGGAUUUGAACACAGGUCCAUUACCCCUAACAUCUGUCUCCUGAACUUCUCUGCCAGAAGUUAUUUGCCAUGUUCAUUGGCAUUUCAAAUGGAAGGCAAAAAUAACUGCUGUAAUUUUUAUGGUUAUCUCACUCUUAAAGACAUAAUGAAAUGUUUCUCGUGAACACAAUUCCUUAAGCUAUAAUCGCAGAAACUUUUACAAUUAAGUAGAUAGUUAAGACCUAUAUUAUUUAUGGAACUGUUUAUUUCUUAUAUAAAUGGCCUUAAUGUAAAUAUUUGUACCAACUCUCCACUGUGCUUUGAAAAGGAAAGAAGUGCUAAAUGGUUCCAGAUCUCUAAACUAUAUUCUUUCCCUUACCUUUUUCUCUUCCUUUUUGGUGAGAGAGAGGUAAGGAUUAGAGUGUUACGAAGAGAAAUUCAGUACACAUGUCACAUUUACUUUCCCUCAGGAUAAUGUACAUUGAGGAAAGGGUGAUAACAGUUUUCUUAGUCUUUUGCCCCAACACGAAUUUUUUUUUUCACUUUAUAUCACAUAUGUAUAAUUUUACAGAUAUACAGAAAUUCACUUCCCUCUUGGAAAAAGAGAUACAACAUUUUGCUUUGAAAUGUAUUGCUUUUCAAGGGGAUACUAGUGUCGGGGAAAUGCAUAUAUUCUCCUUCAACCACAAGUAAGAAAAGUAUACUCCAAUAAGUCAUUUAAAAUUUUUACACAAUGAUAAGUUACAACAGGGAGUACGGAAGACCUGGUAUCUUGUGACAUGAAUUGUUUUGCUUCAACCACAGAAGGACAUUGCAAAAUUGUUCUAUGGAACUGCCCGCCACCUGCUGCUUCCAACACUGAAUUUUAAUAAGCACCAAUUGCUCUGCAAGACUCACUAUUUUAGGAGGAUUAUUUACAGUGAGGCCCACUGUGAUCUUUCUAAAUUAUAGAGUAAAUUGCUUGGGCCUCAGUGAAAAUAAAUAUAUUUCAUUAAUGCAGCUCCUCUUCUAGUCUAAUCUUUUUAACUUUGAAGAUUUAGAGAUUUUCCAUACAUAAUAAUUGUGAUUGUAUCCUAUUUCCUAGAAACACUGAAGAGGUCACAGCACAUAAACUCUAAAAUCUAAAGUUUAGCUGCUUAAACACCUGUUGGGCUUUCCCAUUCUUGUCCUUCAUUUAUGAAAUAUACCGACUAUUGCAUUGAGGUUUUUUUUUUUUUAUCUUUUACUUAUUGAUUUAUUUUUUCUACUGUACAGCAUGGUGACCCAGUUACAUAUACAUGUAUACAUUCUUUUUUCUCACCUUACAUGUUACAUCGUAAGUGACUAGACAGAGUUCCCAGUGCUAUACAGCAGGAUCCCAUUGCUAAACCAUCCCGAAGGCAACGGUCUGCAUCUAUGAACCCCAAGCUCCCAGUCCCUCUCACUCCCUCCCCUUCCCCCUUGGCAACUAUAAGUCUAUUCUCCAAGUCCAUGAUUUUCUUUUCUGUCCAAAGUUUCCAUUCUGACAUAUAUUAAGUGAUAUCAUAUGGUAUUUGCAUUUCUCUUUCUGACUUACUUUAGUCAGUAUGAGAGUCUCUAGUUCCAUCCAUGUUGCUGCAAAUGGCAUUAUUUUGUUCUUUUUAUGGCUGAGUAGUAUUCCAUUGUGUACAUAUGCCACAUCUUCCUAAUUCAAUCAUCUGUUGGUGGACAUUUGGGUGAUUCCAUGUCUUGGCUAUUGUGAAUAGUGCUACAAUGAACAUGCGGGUACCUGUGUCUUUUUUUAGAAGAGUUUUGUCCGGAUAUAUGCCCAAGAGUGGGAUGGUUGGGUCAUAUGGUUUUUCUAUGCACAGUUUUCUAAGGUACCUCCAUACUGUUCUCCGUGGUGAUUGUACCAGCUUACAUUUCCACCAACAGUGCAGGAGGGUUCUCUUUUCUCCACACCCCCUCCAGCAUUUGUUAUUUGUGGACUUGUUAAUGAUGGCCCUAAUAUAGGAGCACCCAGAUACCUACAACAAAUGCUAACAGACAUAAAAGGAGAAAUUGAUGGAAAUAUAAUCAUAAUAGGAGAAUUUAACACCCCACUCACAACAAUGGACAGAUCCUCUAGACAGAAAAUCAAUAAAGCAACAGAGAUCCUAAAGGAAACUAUAGAAAAGUUAGACUUAAUUGACAUUUUCAGGACAUUACAUCAAAAAAAAAUAAGAAUAUACAUUUUUCUCAAGUGCACAUGAAAUAUUAUCAAGAAUUGAUCACAUAUUGGGGCACAAAGCUAACCUCAACAAAUUUAAGAGUAUGGAAGUUAUCUCAAGUAUCUUCUCUGACCACAAUGGCAUGAAACUAGAAAUCAACCACAGGAAAAGAAAUGAGAAAAAACCUACUACAUGGAGACUAAACAACAUGGUACUAAAAAACUCAUAGGUCAAUGAGGAAAUCAAGAAGUAAAUUAAAAAAUACCUGGAGACAAAUGAUAAUGAAGACACAACCACUCAAAAUCUAUGGGAUGCCACAAAAGCAAUGCUCAGAGGGCCUUCCUCAAAAAAGAAGACAAAUCUCAAAUUGACAACUUAGCCCACCACCUAAAUGAAUUAGAAAAAGAACAGGAGUUUCUGUCAUGGCUCAUUGGUUAACAAAUCGGACUAAGAACCAUGAGGUUGCGGGUACGAUCCCUGGCCUCACUCAGUGGGUUAAGGAUCCAGCAUUGCUGUGGGCUGUGGUGUAGGUUGCAGACACGGCUCAGAUCCUGCAUUGCUGUGGCUCUGGCAUAGGCUGGCAGGAACAGCUCCAAUUAGACCCCUAGCCUGGGAACCUCCAUAUGCCAUGGGUGC